GACAUGGUGGUGGUAGGGGAAGCGAAAGCGGACCGACCUUCGGGAGCCAUCACAGGUGCUGCAUGGCUGUCGUCAGCUCGUGUCGUGAGAUGUUCGGUUAAGUCCGGUAACGAGCGCAACCCUCGCCGUUAGUUACAAGUGUCUAGCGGGACUGCCCGUAGAAAGCGGGAGGAAGGUGGGGAUGACGUCAAGUCAGCAUGGCCUUAAUGUCCAGGGCUACACACACGCUACAAUGGCCGGUCCAAUGGGUCGCCAACCCGCGAGGGGGAGCCAAUCCAAGAAAGCCGGUCGUAGUUCGGAUUGCAGGCUGCAACCCGCCUGCAUGAAGUCGGAGUUGCUAGUAAACGCCGGUCAGCCAUACGGCGUUGAAUACGUUCCCGGGCCUUGUACACACCGCCCGUCACGUCAUGGGAGCUGGUCACGCCUGAAGUCGGUGGGCUAACCGCAAGGGGGCAGCCGCCUAGGGCAGGGCUGGUGACUGGGACG
This 486-nucleotide ribosomal RNA is filed under the name uncultured bacterium. Its description in RNAcentral is "bacterial SSU rRNA". It matches the Rfam family "Bacterial small subunit ribosomal RNA", at positions 978 to 1482 of the family's 1533-position model. The record is from RNAcentral.